RNAcentral lists this ribosomal RNA (301 nucleotides) under uncultured bacterium. RNAcentral's name for it is "partial 16S ribosomal RNA". It matches the Rfam family "Bacterial small subunit ribosomal RNA", at positions 509 to 807 of the family's 1533-position model. The record is from RNAcentral.
CAGUAGCCGCGGUAAUACGGAGGGGGCUAGUGUUGUUCGGAAUUACUGGGCGUAAAGCGCACGUAGGCGGCUUGGUAAGUUAGAGGUGAAAGCCCGGAGCUCAACUCCGGAAUUGCCUUUAAGACUGCCGAGCUAGUAGGUGAGAGAGGUAAGUGGAAUUCCGAGUGUAGAGGUGAAAUUCGUAGAUAUUCGGAAGAACACCAGUGGCGAAGGCGGCUUACUGGCUCAUACUGGACGCUGAGGUGCGAAAGCGUGGGGAGCAAACAGGAUUAGAUACCCCAGUAGUCCCUGUCUCUUAUAC